Molecule: long non-coding RNA, 1970 nt
Organism: Calidris pugnax (ruff)
Lineage: Eukaryota; Metazoa; Chordata; Aves; Charadriiformes; Scolopacidae
Exons: 12
Source: RefSeq, a predicted model, not a curated record
GAAGGCAGGGAGGUGCGCGAGGACAUCUCAUUAAGUGCCUUUUUUUUUCAUAUUUUUUUUUUUUCCUUGAAGUCAGACAAACUCCCUCUUUCCCUCCCUUUUUUUUCAUCAAUUCCUAUUUAUUUGAAUUUCCUCUUACUUAUUUGAAAUGCAUCCAGGAAUGCCAUGAGAAGGAUUUUUUUUUUCUCUGAACUUCUAACAGGGGAGGCAAAGAAUAUAAAUUUCAUUUUUUUAUUUUUACUUCCUUUAGCGAGGCUGUUCAGAGAAAGGAAUAUGCAGAGACUGAGUGAAUCCAUUUAAUACAUUUGGAUCAUUAUCUUUUGAACCUUUAGGAGGAACUUUAUCCUUUAUAUGUGGACACAAAGUCAUAAAAUAUUACCUUUCCACAGGGCCUCCCUCUCCACUGUUUAUUCGUGUAAAGUAGCACUUUUUAAGAGAGAGUCUUUCUCCCAGGCUUUGGAGGCUGCUCGUGUCUCAAAACCUGUCAUACUCCCUCCGGAGGAAGGAGAGAUCAUGUCUCAUCUGGCUCCCCACUCAGUUGAAUCUUUUGGGCGAUGUGGAUGGUACUGAUGGAUGAGAAGAGAGGAAGAAAGCAAAGCCUGAGGGAGGUUUGGAAAAUUAAGCAGGCUGGAGGACGAAUGAGGCAUGAAAUAAAUGUUCAAGCUUUUCUUAGCGAACAGCAAGGAAGCUGAGCUAUAAGGCAUGUUGUUAAUGUGUGAUGAUUCACCCAGCACUCCAAAAUAUUCUGACAGUUUUUCAGCAUUACACUCAGCGUCUUUCUGACCCUUUCUCCUGCACCAUUCUGGUUACUGUGAAGUGCUUCUGUGUGGUCCCUUGUCAGAACAUCACGGAGCACUUGAAUCCUGUGUCACCCAGACAUACGGGACGAGGCGUGUUCUGGACUUCAGCCUCUCAGCCUUGAAAGCCAUUUACCACAGUUUACAAUGGAAUCCCCGUGAGUCCAAAAUACAGCUUUCAGAGUCUCCGUAUCACAUCUGCGUCUCGUGGCUGACUAAGAAGCUGAUCCCAGAUCCAGUCUGCUGCCUCCGCGUCCACAGCCUUUUCCACAGGGGUUUUUCCCAGGCAGGGCUGUUCAACAGGCAGAGAGGGGCUGCAGUGAUCUGGGAACGGUGGGGAGAUGGAGGAGCGUUGUGUGGUGGAAGCAGGAGUCUACCUAUUGCACCUCUUUUCCUGUUACGGAGCAGACAGAAGAUCCAUGGAGACAGAAAAAGAUGCCAGGAAGUCUGUAACACUUGAUGGCUCCAAAGUUAAUUAUCAAAGUCUGCAGGGGUCGUCUCUGGCUAAGUUAUUCACAAGCGAGUGCCUCAACGCAGCAAGUCUUCAAGCGGUGACAGGAGUGUGAUAGAUUUUGCUACCGGUUCAUGCCCUGAUCAGUGGAGAACAUUUCUUCCCCUGGGAUUCCCAAACUGUUGACAGCUGACAUCUAGCAACAUGCCGUCCUGUGAUAUGUGAAAGGAUAACAGGAAAAAUAGUGUCUGCUUCCUGAUGAGGGGAAUUUGGCUUAUCUGUGCUUCCCUGUGUCCCUGGGGACUUCAAAGAAACACCAGACACUUUGGUGCUAUGCACAAAAGUGAGUGAGGAAGAGGUGAGAGCACAGUUAACUUGGCGUCUUGUCCUUCACCGUGGCCUGAAGCAGGUGAGGAAGAAAUGUCUAAUCCUGUUUUGGAGCUGUCUACAUUCUUGGCCUAUCUACAUCCUCCUGUCCCUGGGAAUUUUCCCCUCAGACAACUGGACUGUGCUAGAAAUGAAUGUUCCUGUCAAAAACCUGCAGAGAGGUUCUGCUGGGGAGAAGACGUUCAGUGGGAGCCUGUGGUGGUCUUGUGAGUUCAGGGCGAAUGUUGGGUUUCAUGCUGCUCCACUGUUGGUUUAUUCAGGAAUAGCCCAAGCCAAAAGCACCCCAGUUCUCAGCAGCAACUGAGCCUGCUGGAUUCAGCCCCUGGAGCUGCAGG